RNAcentral lists this ribosomal RNA (414 nucleotides) under uncultured eukaryote. RNAcentral's name for it is "SSU rRNA". It matches the Rfam family "Eukaryotic small subunit ribosomal RNA", at positions 592 to 1018 of the family's 1831-position model. The record is from RNAcentral.
CAAUAGCGUAUAUUAAAGUUGUUGCAGUUAAAAAGCUCGUAGUCGGAUUUCGGGUCGGGCCGAGCGGUCUGCCGAUGGGUAUGCACUGGCUGGUCUCAACUUCCUGUAGAGGACGCGCUCUGGGUUAACGCUCGGACGCGGAGUCUACGUGGUUACUUUGAAAAAUUAGAGUGUUCAAAGCGGGCUUACGCUUGAAUAUUUCAGCAUGGAAUAACACUAUAGGACUCCUGUCCUAUUUCGUUGGUCUCGGGACGGGAGUAAUGAUUAAGAGGAACAGUUGGGGGCAUUCGUAUUUCAUUGUCAGAGGUGAAAUUCUUGGAUUUAUGAAAGACGAACUUCUGCGAAAGCAUUUGCCAAGGAUGUUUUCAUUGAUCAAGAACGAAAGUUAGGGGAUCGAAGAUGAUUAGAUACCGU